GCGGGGUGGGCGGGCGGGAGCGCGGCGCAGGCGCAGGCGCAGUCGAGGGGCCUGGCCGGCUCCCCCCCAACCCCGGAGUCCCGGGGCUCUGCUCUCCGCCGGGCUCCUGCUGCCGUCGCCGUCCGUCGCCUCUUCCUCCGUCUCCGUCCUGCUGCCUCGCAGGCCUGCUUUCCUCUUGCUCCUCCGGGGAUCUUGGCCUUGCUCCUCUUCUCUCCGGAGCGGGCAGUGACACCCCGACGCCUACCUCCCGCGUGUGUUUUGAGAAUCUGAAGCAGCCAGAGGGGCUCUUUGUACACCCCGAGCAGAGGCAACAGAGCACCAGCUUGAAGGUGGAAAGCCUGGGGCCUUAUGUGAAACUCAGCCAGCUGUGGAACCUCCCCGGACCUCCCCUGUAACACAGAGCCACUAACUGCCUCAGCUGGACCAUGGCUUUACCGGGAAGGUAAAAUGUGAUCAUGGUUGCGACAGCUUUUUGAUUAAUUUUAGUAACCAGCUAGCAUGUACUGAACUUUCAAGCUAAGGACCCAACAAGCAUCAACUCCGUGCUUUUAGAUGCGCAGAAGGAUGCGCAGAGCCACUCAGGGAUGGCCCGAGAACCCACCGCGCAGAAGCAGCAGGGCCCAGGCUUGCUCUUGGUUCUGCUUGAGUCAAGGCUGUUGACUCCCUUUCCAAGUGUUGGUGUCAGCCACGUGCACGCGGAGGUGAGCGUGUGGG
RNAcentral lists this long non-coding RNA (714 nucleotides) under Canis lupus familiaris (dog). Its description in RNAcentral is "lncRNA (ENSCAFG00845029579.1)". The record is from RNAcentral. Lineage: Eukaryota; Metazoa; Chordata; Mammalia; Carnivora; Canidae.